UAUAAAAGAUGGCCUGCAACAAAACAGAUGUUUAUUGAUGCAAGAUGCACUAAUGGUGGGCCCUGUUGUAAGUGUGUUAAUCCCACUACUGAUGUUUUGCACCUCCUGCCCUAAAGAUGUGCAGCCCAGGCUGAAGAGUGCCCUGUGCCACAUGUUCCUUGGUACAGGCAGUUUGGGAGAACACACUAUGACACUGAUCUUUGUAUGAAGCUUUUUACUAUUUGUGUGCUCUGAAGUCAUGCGUAUAAAUACUGAUUCAAUUCAUCUUCACUGGAAGCCUUGGGUGUGGAUGAUAAAACUGGUAUUGAAACCUGCAGGACACUUCUGUGAAUCUGAAGAGGAACCUUAUGACAAG
Long non-coding RNA from Erpetoichthys calabaricus (reedfish), 355 nucleotides. RefSeq lists it as uncharacterized. Lineage: Eukaryota; Metazoa; Chordata; Cladistia; Polypteriformes; Polypteridae. The transcript is spliced from 4 exons. The record is from RefSeq and is a predicted model, not a curated record.